RNAcentral lists this ribosomal RNA (485 nucleotides) under uncultured bacterium. RNAcentral describes it as "bacterial SSU rRNA". It matches the Rfam family "Bacterial small subunit ribosomal RNA", at positions 28 to 509 of the family's 1533-position model. The record is from RNAcentral.
GAUGAACGCUAGCGGCAGGCCUAACACAUGCAAGUCGAGGGGCAGCACAGGUAGCAAUACUGGGUGGCGACCGGCGGAUGGGUGCGUAACGCGUAUGCAACCUACCAUUGAUUGGGGCAUAGCCCGAAGAAAUUCGGAUUAAUACUCCAUAAUAUUCACUAAAGGCAUCUUUUAUGAAUUAAAGCUUUUGCGAUCAAUGAUGGGCAUGCGUGACAUUAGUUAGUUGGUGAGGUAACGGCUCACCAAAACGAUGAUGUCUAGGGGUUCUGAGAGGAUUAUCCCCCACACUGGUACUGAGACACGGACCAGACUCCUACGGGAGGCAGCAGUGAGGAAUAUUGGUCAAUGGACGCAAGUCUGAACCAGCCAUGCCGCGUGCAGGAUGACGGCCCUAUGGGUUGUAAACUGCUUUUCCACGGGAAGAACCCUCCGACGUGUCGGAGACUGACGGUACCGUGGGAAUAAGCAUCGGCUAACUCCGUGCC